RNAcentral lists this long non-coding RNA (295 nucleotides) under Homo sapiens (human). RNAcentral describes it as "non-protein coding lnc-RBM46-2:1". The record is from RNAcentral. Lineage: Eukaryota; Metazoa; Chordata; Mammalia; Primates; Hominidae.
GUGGGCUCUGACCCAGCUGGCCUUUUCUUGGUGUUGGAGGCCGCCUCUUCCAAGGUUGCUGCACAGGUGGCUGGAGGUGGCACAGUGUGUCGGAUGGGCGGUGGUGUGCAUAUCCAGUUUCCCCAACUGACCAGAUCCCAGGUGAUCUAGGCUGAGGUCCUCAGUGCAACAAUAUGGUUCUGGAUUCUCUGGUGCUUUUGUCAUGAGACUCAGAUGCUGUGCUGGGUCACUUUCUAUAUCCAGAGUCUUCCCAGUGGACAGAUGUAGAAUUAGGCAUCCUUCCUAAUGAUGAAGA